UACGAAGGGAGCUAGCGUUGUUCGGAAUUACUGGGCGUAAAGGGCGCGUAGGCGGUCUUGUAAGUCAGAUGUGAAAGCCCUGGGCUCAACCUGGGAGGUGCAUUUGAUACUGCAAGACUUGAGAUCGAGAGAGGAGAGUGGAAUUGCGAGUGUAGAGGUGAAAUUCGUAGAUAUUCGCAAGAACACCAGUGGCGAAGGCGACUCUCUGGCUCGAUACUGACGCUAAGGCGCGAAAGCGUGGGGAGCAAACAGG
This 253-nucleotide ribosomal RNA is filed under the name uncultured bacterium. Its description in RNAcentral is "partial 16S ribosomal RNA". It matches the Rfam family "Bacterial small subunit ribosomal RNA", at positions 524 to 776 of the family's 1533-position model. The record is from RNAcentral.